Molecule: ribosomal RNA, 362 nt
Filed under: uncultured bacterium
Lineage: Bacteria
Description: bacterial SSU rRNA
Rfam family: Bacterial small subunit ribosomal RNA
Source: RNAcentral
UGGGGAAUAUUGGGCAAUGGGCGCAAGCCUGACCCAGCAACGCCGCGUGAGGGAAGAAGGCCUUCGGGUUGUGAACCUCUGUCCUUGGUGACGAAACAAAUGACGGUAGCCAAGGAGGAAGCCCCGGCUAACUACGUGCCAGCAGCCGCGGUAAUACGUAGGGGGCGAGCGUUGUCCGGAAUUACUGGGCGUAAAGGGUGCGUAGGUGGCCUUUUAAGUUGGGUGUGAAAUACCCGGGCUUAACUUGGGGGGUGCAUCUAAUACUGGGAGGCUGGGGAGCAGGAGAGGGAAGCGGAAUUCCUGGUGUGGCGGUGAAAUGCGUAGAUAUUAGAAGGAACACCGGUGGCGAAGGCGGCUUUCUG